UAAUGUGUCCCCACAAUUUCAUAUGCUGGAAAUGUUACCCUUAGUGUGGCAAUGCUGAACAAUGGAAUCUUGAAGAGGUCAUGUGAUUCUGAAAGCCGUUAUUCAUUAGAAGAAUAGGGGAAUAUACCAGUUUUAACUGGCAACCUUUAUAGGAACUGAAAUGAUGGAGUUAAAAGAAACAUGUAUAGAUUAUCAAAUUAUUAAGACAAUGGGGUAAAAUAGAGAAAACUAUGAAAUAUUUUUUAUCCCUUAACACAAAAAGAUGAAUCUAAAACAAUAGUGGUGUUUUUCUAAGCAGGAAAAGCUUUUAGUGUGACCCACCCAUAAACCGUACUUCUGGUUGUUUUGGUUAGGACCUACCUCACAUUAAGAAUGGUGAGAGAAGCCACAUGUAAAUGAAACGACUGAUCGGCUUCCAUUCUUCCUGGCAGGGGCUGGUGGUGCUGUGGGGAGAACUAGGGAAAGUUUUGUGCACUCAAGAAUGGUUGCUGUUAAUAACUGAGCCUUGGAAAUGAUGCAAUGGGUCCUGCUGAUGGAAGCCAUAAUUUGAAGGAGAAUCAAUCCUAUUUUUUCUACUGAGCUUGCUACUUACUCUGAGUAGCAAGGGACAAACUCACCUUCUAGUUUCCCUGGCAUGUGACAAAAGCACAGCCAUCCCACCCAACAACGCCCCACGCAAACUGAAGACCACCUGCUCAACAACAAACAACACCCACGCAAGCUGAAGACCACCUGCUCAACAACAAACAACACCCACGCAAGCUGAAAGCCACCUGAAGACCUCUAGAGUGUAAGAAGGUGUCCAAUAACCGGGCGGCUGGAUGUUUCCAUGCGUCAAACUACCAUUAACACAAACACUUUAAAUGUUUUUUCAAAUUCUUUCCCCAUCUUCAUUUCUCCUUCUCUACCACCAAAUCCCCUCUGCACCCCCGGUCCUGUGCCAUUUUUUUUUUUUGGAACAAGAUUUCAUAUUUGUGAUCAAGAAUUGAAAAAUCUCGUUUGCAAUAGCAUUGAUGAACUAGGUUCAAAUAAAACAAGCCGUAUCUACA
Grammomys surdaster is the source of this 1049-nucleotide long non-coding RNA. RefSeq lists it as uncharacterized. The transcript has 3 exons. The record is from RefSeq and is a predicted model, not a curated record. Lineage: Eukaryota; Metazoa; Chordata; Mammalia; Rodentia; Muridae.